Non-coding RNA from Triticum aestivum (bread wheat), 139 nucleotides. The record is from Rfam. Lineage: Eukaryota; Viridiplantae; Streptophyta; Magnoliopsida; Poales; Poaceae.
CCCAUCCAAGAUGAUGAGCUCAUGUCCUACAUCAUCCACGGGCUGGACCAAGACUAUCAGCCUCUUGUCUCUGCACUGGAUGCACGCGUCACCCCGGUAACUCUUGAUGAACUCUUUGCUAUGCUUAGUAACUUUGAUC